AUGCUCUUCUUUCCAUUUAGAUGGGUUCAUAGGGUCCUGCCAGAAGUUGACCUUGGGAGGUCCAUGAUGAUCGCCACCACCAGCUAGACCGCGCCGAUGAAUGAGGGAAGCGGCUUGAGGAACUGCAGCAACUCUUGGAAAGGAAAGGCCAGUGAGAUUCGUGGCUUGACGAGCCGCCGCCGUCCAUGCUGCCAUGGUUCUUUAGCCUAGAGAGCGGAAGUUGAGAAAAACUGCGAAAACGAGAAGAAGCAGGUGGCAGGUGGAGAUGAAGAGAGAACUUUUUACCAAACAGCAC
This 295-nucleotide unclassified non-coding RNA is filed under the name Hevea brasiliensis (rubber tree). The record is from RNAcentral. Lineage: Eukaryota; Viridiplantae; Streptophyta; Magnoliopsida; Malpighiales; Euphorbiaceae.